AGAGUUUGAUCCUGGCUCAGGAUGAACGCUAGCGGCAGGCUUAAUACAUGCAAGUCGAACGGGAUUGGGGGCUUGCUCCCAUGAGAGUGGCGCACGGGUGCGUAACGCGUAUGCAACCUACCUUGAACAGGGGGAUAGCCCGGAGAAAUUCGGAUUAAUACCGCAUAAUAUAACGGGGUCAGCAUUGGCCUGUUAUUAAAGAUUUAUUGGUUCAAGAUGGGCAUGCGUGCCAUUAGCUUGUUGGUGAGGUAACGGCUCACCAAGGCAACGAUGGCUAGGGGAUCUGAGAGGAUGACCCCCCACACUGGUACUGAGACACGGACCAGACUCCUACGGGAGGCAGCAGUAAGGAAUAUUGGUCAAUGGGCGCAAGCCUGAACCAGCCAUGCCGCGUGCAGGAGGAAGGCCCUACGGGUUGUAAACUGCUUUUAUCUGGGGAUAAACCUUACUAUGCGUAGUAAGCUGAAGGUACCAGAUGAAUAAGGAUCGGCUAACUCCGUGCCAGCAGCCGCGGUAAUACGGAGGAUCCGAGCGUUAUCCGGAUUUAUUGGGUUUAAAGGGUGCGUAGGCGGCUCAUUAAGUCAGUGGUGAAAGGUAACCGCUUAACGGGGACACUGCCAUUGAUACUGAUGAGCUGGAGUACAGAUGAAGUGGGCGGAAUGUGUCAAGUAGCGGUGAAAUGCAUAGAUAUGACACAGAACACCAAUUGCGAAGGCAGCUCACUAAAGUGUAACUGACGCUGAGGCACGAAAGCGUGGGGAUCGAACAGGAUUAGAUACCCUGGUAGUCCACGCCCUAAACGAUGAUUACUCGAUGUUAGCGAUAUACGGUUAGCGUCAAAGCGAAAGCGUUAAGUAAUCCACCUGGGGAGUACGGUCGCAAGAUUGAAACUCAAAGGAAUUGACGGGGGCCCGCACAAGCGGAGGAGCAUGUGGUUUAAUUCGAUGAUACGCGAGGAACCUUACCCGGGCUUGAAAGUUAGUGAAUGUACCAGAGAUGGGACAGUCCGCAAGGACACGAAACUAGGUGCUGCAUGGCUGUCGUCAGCUCGUGCCGUGAGGUGUUGGGUUAAGUCCCGCAACGAGCGCAACCCCUAUGAAUAGUUGCCAGCACGUUAAGGUGGGGACUCUAUUCAGACUACCUACGCAAGUAGAGAGGAAGGAGGGGACGACGUCAAGUCAUCAUGGCCCUUACGUCCGGGGCUACACACGUGCUACAAUGGGCAGUACAGCGGGCAGCGAAGGAGUAAUCCGGAGCCAAUCUUGUAAAGCUGUUCACAGUUCGGAUUGAGGUCUGCAACUCGACCUCAUGAAGUUGGAUUCGCUAGUAAUCGCGUAUCAGCAAUGACGCGGUGAAUACGUUCCCGGGCCUUGUACACACCGCCCGUCAAGCCAUGGAAGUUGGGGGUGCCUGAAGUCUGCUGCCGCAAGGGGCGGCCUAGGGUAAAACCGAUAACUGGGGCUAAGUCGUAACAAGGUAACC
Molecule: ribosomal RNA, 1482 nt
Filed under: uncultured Actinomycetes bacterium
Lineage: Bacteria; Bacillati; Actinomycetota; Actinomycetes
Description: bacterial SSU rRNA
Rfam family: Bacterial small subunit ribosomal RNA
Source: RNAcentral